Molecule: ribosomal RNA, 238 nt
Filed under: uncultured bacterium
Lineage: Bacteria
Description: partial 16S ribosomal RNA
Rfam family: Bacterial small subunit ribosomal RNA
Source: RNAcentral
UGGCGGACGGGUGAGUAACGCGUGGGUAACCUGCCUCAUACAGGGGGAUAACAGUUAGAAAUGACUGCUAAUACCGCAUAAGACCACGGAGCCGCAUGGCUCAGUGGGAAAAACUCCGGUGGUAUGAGAUGGACCCGCGUCUGAUUAGGUAGUUGGUGGGGCAACGGCCUACCAAGCCAACGAUCAGUAGCCGACCUGAGAGGGUGACCGGCCACAUUGGGACUGAGGCACGGCCCAA